Non-coding RNA from Pelobates cultripes (western spadefoot toad), 226 nucleotides. Lineage: Eukaryota; Metazoa; Chordata; Amphibia; Anura; Pelobatidae. The record is from the annotation of a GenBank genome assembly.
GGGGAGCAUACCCAAUAGUUGUUGUGCAGUUCUAUCCUGUAUUAUUAUUUGAAACCCUGUAUUACUUAUAAGUAGCAUUUUGUAACUUAUUUGUAAUUGUUUAUAUAUAUUGCUCUGGGAAAGGGAUAGGCAAAAUCUCUGAGAGACCAGGAAAUAUAUUUUAAAAAAAGGGCGUAUUACACUAGUGGUAGGGUGGCCUAUCAUGACCAUAGAGACCCUUGGUGAC